RNAcentral lists this long non-coding RNA (1258 nucleotides) under Homo sapiens (human). RNAcentral's name for it is "HSALNT0062197". Lineage: Eukaryota; Metazoa; Chordata; Mammalia; Primates; Hominidae. The record is from RNAcentral.
ACUUUUAUGCGAGGAGGUGCUGGAGGGUGGGCUUGCGCUCGGCGUUUCAGUGCUGGUCGCGCUCUGGCUGGGCACGAACGUAGAGGUCAGGCUAGGGCUGACGAUGCUGGCUAAGCGGGGGCGCACGUCUGGGAAGUCGUCGUCGUAGUCACCGAUGUCCGUGACCUUCCAGAGCCUCUGGUAACCACUGUUCUACUCAAUACUUCUAUGAGGUGAACUUCUUUGGAUUCCACAUAUGAUCAAGAUCAUGAGUGGCGCCUGGAACGCCAGCAAGAGAGAACCGUUCACUCCCCUGGACAGGGGGCUGAAGCCGUGGAGCCAAGUGGACUAGCUCAGCGGAUCCCACCCCCACAGAGCCCAGCAAGCUAAGAUCCACUGGCUUGAAAUUCUUGCUGCCAGCACAACAGUCUGAAGUCAACCUGGGAUGCUGGAGCUUGGUGAGGGGAGGAGCGUCCACCAUUACUGAGGCUUGAGUAGGCGGUUUUCCCCUCACAGUGUAAACAAAGCCACCAGGAAAUUUGGACUGGGUGGAGCCCACCGCAGCUCAGCAAAGCCGCUGUAGCCAGGCUGCCUCUCUAGAUUCCUCUUCUCUGGGCAGGGCAUCUCUGAAAAAAAGGCAGCAGCCCCAGUCAGGUACUUAUAGAUAAAACCCCCACCUCCCUGGGACAGAGCACCUUGGGUAAGGGGCAGCUGUGGGCACAGCUUUAGCAGACUUCAACGUCCCUGCCUGACGGCUCCGAAGAGAGCAGCUGAUCUCCCAGCACAGUGUUCAAGCUCUGCUAAGGGUCAGACUGCCUCCUCAAGUGGUUCCCUGACCCCUGUGUCUCCUGACUGGUAGACACCUCCCAGCAGGGGCUGACAGACACCUCAUACAGGAGAGCUCUGGCUGGCAUCUGGCGGGUGCCCCUCUGGGACGAAGCUUCCAGAGGAAGGAACAGUCAGCAAUCUUUGCUGUUCUGCAGCCUCCGCUGAUGAUAUCCAGGGAAACAGGGUCUGGAGUGGAUCUCCAGCAAACUCCAGCAGACCUGCAGCAGAGGGGCCUGACUGUUAUAAGGAAAACUAACAAACAGAAAGGAAUAGCAUCAACAUCAACAAAAAGGAUGUCCACUCAGGGACCUCAUCCAAAUGUCACCAACAUCAAAGACCAAAGGUAGAUAAAUCCAUGAAGAUGGGGAGAAACCAGUGCAAAAAGGCUGAAAAUUCCAAAACCCAGAACGCCUCUUCUCCUCCAAAGGAUCACAACUCCUUGCCAGCAUGG